RNAcentral lists this small nuclear RNA (248 nucleotides) under Chinchilla lanigera (long-tailed chinchilla). RNAcentral describes it as "7SK RNA (ENSCLAG00000021780.1)". It matches the Rfam family "7SK RNA". From Rfam's summary of the family: 7SK was discovered as an abundant small nuclear RNA in the mid-70s but a possible function has only recently been suggested. Two independent studies have found that 7SK RNA binds the CDK9/cyclin T complex (known as elongation factor P-TEFb). Lineage: Eukaryota; Metazoa; Chordata; Mammalia; Rodentia; Chinchillidae. The record is from Rfam by way of RNAcentral.
GGAUGUGAGGAGGAUCUAGCUGUGACAUCUGUCACCCCAUUGAUCGCCAGGGUUUAUGUGGCUGAUCUGGUUGGGCUCUUCCUCACCAAUCCAUGUGCUUCUCUCCUGAAGCUGUGCAUUCAGUGGAGGAGGACAACCAUCCCAACAGAGGACUGUUUCCUGGGUGAAGGGUGUACGAGUAGCUGUGCUCCCCUGCUAGAGCCUCCAGACGAGCUCUCCAAUAAUUAUGCACAUAAAAUUAGUUCAUU